GGGUGUUGGGGGCUCCAGAGUCCAAGAUCAUCAUUGGUUACAGAGGGUGUUUGAGGCUAGCCUGGGCUACUUGGAAUCCUGUGUCAAAACCCUCCAAACCAAACCAAAUCAACAACUUUAAAAAAAAGGAAAAGAAAAAGAAAACAAAACCAGAGAGAGACAGGCGUGCACUUUCCAUGUGCAUGUAGAAAGGUCAGAGGACAACUUCAAGGAGUUUGCUCUUUCCUUCCAUUGGGAAUCUCAAAAUGGAAUGCAUAUUGUUGGGCUUGCAAGAGUGUCACAGAGCAAGAGGACCAGACACCAAUGAAAACAGAUGACCCAGGUGAUCCAACAUCUCAAAAUGCCUCUGUUACAGUCUCCUCAGAAUUCUGCAUCCAGAACAGCUUCAAGGCUUCUGGCUGAGAUGAUUCAGCCUCAUAAAAUACUCCAGUAAGGAGUAUUUGACCCUAAACUUGAAUUUUCUCAGAGUCCCCCAAAGAUUAACCAGCACCCCCAAUCAACGGGAAGUAGUCUAGGGAACUAUGUCCACAUUCCUCAAAAAUGACUUAUGAGUGUUUAUUAUCAUUUAAGGGGGGAUGUUGGUUACAAGCUGUUACUGGUCAUGGUCAGGAAAAAAGCUAAGCAAAAAAAGUUAAAUUCAAAGAUGUCUUCCUAAAGGAAAAAAAGGAGAUAUGACAUAGAAGUGAUAGGAUAAAAGGGAAGUAUAGACCAGGCUGGCCUCAAACUCACAGAGAUCUGCCUGUCUCUUCCUCCCCAGUGCUGGGAUUAAAGGUGUGCGCCGCCACUGCCUGGCGUAGCACGAGUUCUAAUUGGGCUUAAUAAUAAAAACCCAGAGUUGGAUAGGGAUAAAUGCUAAAAGAUCAGAGAGAGAAAGGAGCAAAGUACAGCCACUCCUCACCCAGUAACUCCUCAGUAUGAAGGGCCUGAGCGCCCAUCUCACCCGCUUUAUAUCUCCUCUCAGCCAUGUCACUUCCUGUCUGUCCGAACAAACCUCUGUGGUUAACUCAUGGCUAGCUCCACCCUUUGAUCUUCAGGCAAACUUUAUUUGUUAGGGCACAAACAAAAUAUAACCACAGGGUAGAUAUUGAAUCAACUUUUUUUUUUUCCUGAGACAGGGUUUCUCUGUGGCUUUGGAGCCUGUCUGGAACUAGCUCUUGUAGACCAGGCUGGUCUGCCUGCCUCUGCCUGCCUCUGCCUCCAGAGUGCUGAAAAGACGCAUGCCACCACUGCCCGGCUGAAUCUACUUUUAAAUGAAAAAACAAAAACAAAAACAAAAAAACGAAAAC
RNAcentral lists this long non-coding RNA (1286 nucleotides) under Cricetulus griseus (Chinese hamster). RNAcentral's name for it is "lncRNA (ENSCGRG00015042459.1)". The record is from RNAcentral. Lineage: Eukaryota; Metazoa; Chordata; Mammalia; Rodentia; Cricetidae.